This 440-nucleotide ribosomal RNA is filed under the name uncultured bacterium. Its description in RNAcentral is "partial 16S ribosomal RNA". It matches the Rfam family "Bacterial small subunit ribosomal RNA", at positions 338 to 795 of the family's 1533-position model. The record is from RNAcentral.
CCUACGGGAUGCAGCAGUGGGGAAUAUUGCACAAUGGGGGAAACCCUGAUGCAGCGACGCCGCGUGAAUGAAGAAUUAAUUCGUUAUGUAAAGCUCUAUCAGCAGGGAAGAAAAUGACGGUACCUAAGUAAGAAGCCACGGCUAACUAAGUGCCAGAAGCCGCGGUAAUACGGAGGGGGCCAGCGUUAUCCGGAUUUACUGGGUGUAAAGGGAGCGUAGACGGCAGUGCAAGUCGGGAGUGAAAGGGGGGGGCUCAACCCUCGGAUUGCUGUGGAUACUGUACGGCUUGAGUGCAGGAGAGGUAAGUGGAAUUCGUGGUGUAGCGGUGAAAUGCGUAGAUAUUAGGAGGAACACCAGUGGCGAAGGCGGCUUACUGGACUGUAACUGACGUUGAUGCUCGAAAGCGUGGGGAGCAAACAGGAUUAGAUACCCUUGUAGUC